GGCUCUGUGGCGCAACGGUAGCGCAUCUGACUCCAGACUAGAAGGUUGUCCGUUCGAAUCGGGUCGAGGUCA
RNAcentral lists this transfer RNA (72 nucleotides) under Perkinsus marinus ATCC 50983. It matches the Rfam family "tRNA". From Rfam's summary of the family: Transfer RNA (tRNA) molecules are approximately 80 nucleotides in length. Their secondary structure includes four short double-helical elements and three loops (D, anti-codon, and T loops). Further hydrogen bonds mediate the characteristic L-shaped molecular structure. tRNAs have two regions of fundamental functional importance: the anti-codon, which is responsible for specific mRNA codon recognition, and the 3' end, to which the tRNAs corresponding amino acid is attached (by aminoacyl-tRNA synthetases). tRNAs cope with the degeneracy of the genetic code in two manners: having more than one tRNA (with a specific anti-codon) for a particular amino acid; and 'wobble' base-pairing, i.e. permitting non-standard base-pairing at the 3rd anti-codon position. The record is from Rfam by way of RNAcentral. Lineage: Eukaryota; Perkinsozoa; Perkinsida; Perkinsidae.